CUGCAGGAAAAGGUCAAAGGGCUGAUUGUGGUCAGCCACAAUGCUGUCUGCUCUCAAUCAUGUCCCUCUGCCUGACGGGAAGCAAGAUCAUGGAAAUGUUGAAUGACUCCGGUAGCUGAAUCACCACGUUUCUUCAGGUUUCCCCUCUGAUGCCACACUG
This 160-nucleotide long non-coding RNA is filed under the name Anser cygnoides (Swan goose). RNAcentral's name for it is "lncRNA (ENSACDG00005014972.1)". Lineage: Eukaryota; Metazoa; Chordata; Aves; Anseriformes; Anatidae. The record is from RNAcentral.